Molecule: transfer RNA, 77 nt
Filed under: Patescibacteria group bacterium
Lineage: Bacteria
Description: tRNA-Met
Rfam family: tRNA
About the family: Transfer RNA (tRNA) molecules are approximately 80 nucleotides in length. Their secondary structure includes four short double-helical elements and three loops (D, anti-codon, and T loops). Further hydrogen bonds mediate the characteristic L-shaped molecular structure. tRNAs have two regions of fundamental functional importance: the anti-codon, which is responsible for specific mRNA codon recognition, and the 3' end, to which the tRNAs corresponding amino acid is attached (by aminoacyl-tRNA synthetases). tRNAs cope with the degeneracy of the genetic code in two manners: having more than one tRNA (with a specific anti-codon) for a particular amino acid; and 'wobble' base-pairing, i.e. permitting non-standard base-pairing at the 3rd anti-codon position.
Source: RNAcentral
GCCGGCGUAGCUCAGUUGGUUAGAGCGGAGGACUCAUAAGCCUCAGGUCGUUGGUUCAAUUCCAACCGCCGGUACCA